UCUUUCUCUUUCCUCAUUCCAUGCCCUCAUCUUCACUGUUUCCUCUUGAAUGAGAAAAUCCUUCUUUGAUCUCUCCAUCAUCCUUAGGUUUGAAGGCUAAACUUUCUUCUUCUUCUUGAGAUUCAGCAAGGUGGUGAGGCUUUGGCUAGAGGCAAAGAGUCGGCGGAGGAGUAGCACCGUUGAGGAGUUAUUAACUUCCAAGUUUGCUUUAGCGUUUAGUGGCGGCGCGACAAACGUGGUGCUUAGUAGCUCCUUGUUCCUUCCUUCUUC
Molecule: long non-coding RNA, 270 nt
Organism: Dioscorea cayenensis subsp. rotundata (Guinea yam)
Lineage: Eukaryota; Viridiplantae; Streptophyta; Magnoliopsida; Dioscoreales; Dioscoreaceae
Exons: 3
Source: RefSeq, a predicted model, not a curated record